RNAcentral lists this ribosomal RNA (460 nucleotides) under uncultured bacterium. Its description in RNAcentral is "partial 16S ribosomal RNA". It matches the Rfam family "Bacterial small subunit ribosomal RNA", at positions 338 to 795 of the family's 1533-position model. The record is from RNAcentral.
CCUACGGGCGGCAGCAGUGAGGAAUAUUGGUCAAUGGACGAGAGUCUGAACCAGCCAAGUAGCGUGAAGGAUGACUGCCCUAUGGGUUGUAAACUUCUUUUAUAUGGGAAUAAAACGUUCCACGUGUGGGAUUUUGUAUGUACCAUAUGAAUAAGGAUCGGCUAACUCCGUGCCAGCAGCCGCGGUAAUACGGAGGAUCCGAGCGUUAUCCGGAUUUAUUGGGUUUAAAGGGAGCGUAGGUGGAUUGUUAAGGCAGUUGUGAAAGUUUGCGGCUCAACCGUAAAAUUGCAGUUGAAACUGGCAGUCUUGAGUACAGUAGAGGUUGGCGGAAUUCGUGGUGUAGCGGUGAAAUGCUUAGAUAUCACGAAGAACUCCGAUUGCGAAGGCAGUUCACUGGACUGCAACUGACACUGAGGCUCGAAAGUGUGGGUAUCAAACAGGAUUAGAUACCCCAGUAGUC